UUUUGGGCAUUUUUGAUCUAGGGCUUUUGGACCUAAAUUGGUUGGUUUAGAACCUUCCUAAGGCUUGGAUUGGAAGGGUUCUAGCUCUCUUUUGGAGCUUAGGAGAAGAUUUCUCCUCUUGAGGUGAAUUUUGGCCCUUUUUGCUUCUAGGUUAAUGUUUGAUCUCUUGGUUAGUCGUAAUGCUCUCGUAUCUCUUCGCUGAUUACUUUUAGGGUAUUUUGAGACUCGGGGACAACUUUGUUCGGCGAAACGAGGCCCUACGCGACGGUUCGGUGGGUUUGACCUAGCCACACAAUGAGAAAUUCUCAUUUGUGCUUAAUUAAGUAUUGUUAAAUGAAAAAGCAUGCAUAUUCUUGUUAUAUGUAUUUAUUGUGAAUUUUAGAAUGCUUAAAAGGCCUAUGUUAUAUAUGAUGAAAUUUUGGACCUCUAUAUAGUAGAGAGUAGCUUGGUAGGCCUAUAGUUGCUCUUAGCAUUCUAUAUGAGACGUGGUUUCAUGCUCCUAUAGUGUAAAUGAGAUUGGAUUCAUGCAUUUAAACCUAAGUUUAUUUGGGACAUGAAAGUUGACAAAAUUGCCAUAUAGAGCUAUCGAACUAGAAUGUAUGUGAAUUGGAGAGCUAAUGUCAUCAAGCGGCAUUGAGCUCGGGACAUGUGUGAACCUAGUGGUUAGAGCCAUUGAGGGAUUGGGUAUAUGUUGAACAUUAGAUUGUCUAAGUGUCAUCAAGGGGCACUAGGCGUAAUGAAUGUUGGAACUUCAUCUUAUGACUUAGACUAGAUCUUCGGGAUGCUAGUUAUGAUACCAUGUUAGAGACAUGAGGAUUGGAUAUUUGAGACUUGGACUAUGCUUGCUUGCCAUUUGUGCUCAUUCGCACAUGCUUGUGAGGGUCGCUCCCUACAAGCCGGCACUCCGGAGUUAGCCUACGCGACUUAUGUUCGCUCGUGCGGUAUUGAGAAGCCUACGGGGUCGAGUGGGACAGACACAUUCCAAGAGUAGGGAUGUUGGGCUACCACAGGCACUUAGGCGGCACAAGCUGGACUACCUUUGGUAGGUCCUUAAUUGGAAAUGGAAAUCGACACGGUGUUGAGAAUGGUUAAUCGCUACUAGAUAGGUUUAGUAGUUGAAUUACAUUUAUAUGCUUUUAGCAUAGUGUUGAGACAUGUAGUAUACUUGAUAGUCUCCUUUUGCAUUAGAGCAUACUUGGUUGCCAUGACAGAACUUAUGCAUAAUGUAU
This 1229-nucleotide long non-coding RNA is filed under the name Ananas comosus (pineapple). RNAcentral's name for it is "long non-coding RNA (ACOM_LNC030442)". The record is from RNAcentral. Lineage: Eukaryota; Viridiplantae; Streptophyta; Magnoliopsida; Poales; Bromeliaceae.